GUUUUAUUUUUUAUUAAUUUUAUUGACUUAUUUAUGUCUUAGUCCUUUUUAUUACAAAUUAUUGUUUAGUCACUACUUUAGAGUCUGUUUUAUUUUUUCUUAAUUUUAUUAAAGGACGAUAUUGAUGAUGAAAUAUCUUACGAAGAUCAUUUAGAGGUUUAUUUUGAAUAACUGACAAUUCCAGGAAUGAUGGAAUAAAACAUAUGAAGUAGAAGGACUGGAACCUCCAGAAAAAAUACUUCAAGUUACCGACAAGUGAUCUUAGUCAGGCAAAUGAAAACAGUAGCCUAAAGUGUCGGUUUCAACCAGAAAAUAACAGCUAUGAUUUCUCAUGGCUCACACUCUUCUGAAACGACUCAGGAAGAGGCUGAGGAAGGCCAUGUUGUUUGUCUACCUGGGACUAUCCCUUCUUUGUAAUUAGGUAAAAAAAGAAAAGAGAGACAUUCUUGAUUUUGGUGACUAGAGUUGUAGAUGCUGGAAGGCUUUGUCACUAAAAUUGAUGAACCAGAUGCACGUCACCAGCCAAUCACGCUGACUCUUAAUGCCGGCACCAUGGCCUGGCACCGUCACGUUUUCCAAGGAACCUGCUGGAGCUCCUGCGGAAGCUGCUCCUUGGGCCGAUGGAGGCGCUUAGCUGGUAGGCCCUUCUUUAGUCACCACAGGAUGCCUGCUGUUCAUGAACAGAAAGGAGAGGACAGGCUUUGAAUAAAACACAGGACCUGGAAAACAUUUGUGAGGCCAUUGGAUUUCAGAUUUCAGUGUCAGGUGGUGGUGAAAGUUGAAGUCAUUUCUUCAAGAAGUAAACCUCUGCCACCUGGACUGUGCUCAGACAUUUCAUUGAUUUUGUUAAAUAAACAUUUUCUGGCUUUGGGAGGUGUCCCUCUUGGUGGAACACAGUAAGUGUCAAAGAUGGACACAUAGUCCAUGAUUUGUAGUGUGUGGGAGCAGACCACAAAUUAAUGUUUGGAGAACAAUUUUGUCAUAACAGACACUGUUGAGGCUCAGUUGUACAGAACUGGAGAAGUCUUUCAGCGUGGCACAUGUCCUGAUUCAGCCUCUGUUUAACAUAUAUUCCAAUCCUGAUUCUUAACUGGCUACAAAGACCACCUGAGAUGUGUACGACACAGGAGCUGCUGGGGGAGGGGCAGUAUUAUCUCCCCAAACUCACAGCCACUCCAUAUUUUCAAAAGCCAGCUUAGAGCUGCAGAGAGAACACGCAGUCCAUCCAUUCUUCUCAGUGAUGUACAUUUCUCAAUCAGCAACCACGUGGUUUUAGCAAACCCCACAGAAGUGGUUUUGAUGUACCAGCCUUGAGUGUCACAUCUCCCAAC
This 1331-nucleotide long non-coding RNA is filed under the name Macaca nemestrina (pig-tailed macaque). RNAcentral describes it as "lncRNA (ENSMNEG00000045675.1)". The record is from RNAcentral. Lineage: Eukaryota; Metazoa; Chordata; Mammalia; Primates; Cercopithecidae.